GUCUGUGGCCAUGCACCCUGAAUGCACUCAAUCUCAUCUGAUCUCAGAGACUAAGCAAGAUCGGGCCUGGUUAGUACUUGGAAUGGAGACUGCCUGGAAAUACUGGGUGCUAUAGGCU
Molecule: ribosomal RNA, 118 nt
Organism: Bison bison bison
Lineage: Eukaryota; Metazoa; Chordata; Mammalia; Artiodactyla; Bovidae
Source: Ensembl